RNAcentral lists this ribosomal RNA (1476 nucleotides) under uncultured Bordetella sp. RNAcentral's name for it is "partial 16S-23S ribosomal RNA intergenic spacer". It matches the Rfam family "Bacterial small subunit ribosomal RNA". Lineage: Bacteria; Pseudomonadati; Pseudomonadota; Betaproteobacteria; Burkholderiales; Alcaligenaceae. The record is from RNAcentral.
GGUUCGAUCAUGGCUCAGAUUGAACGCUAAGCGGGAUGCUUUUACAUGCAAGUCGAACGGCAGCAGGACUUCGGUCUGUACAGUGGCGAACGGGUGAGUAAUGUAUCGGAACGUGCCUAGUAGCGGGGGAUAACUACGCGAAAGGUGUACACACGCAGCACAAGUUCUUUCGGGGGAAAGCGGGGACCUUCGGGCCUGCACCACAGGAGCGGUUUAACGAUUUCAGCUGGUUGCGUAACGGCUCACCAAGGCGACGAUCCGCUGGGCUGUAGCUGGUUUGAGAGGACGACCAGCUUCACACGGACUGGAGACACGGCCCAGACUCCUACGGGAGGCAGCAGUGGGGAAUUUUGGACAAUGGGAAAUCCUCGAUCUGUCAUCCCGCGCGGUGCGAUGAAGGCCUUCGGGUUGUAAAGCACUUUUGGCAGGAAGAAACGGCACGGGAUAAUACUCCUGUGCAACUGACGGUACCUGCAGAAUACAACGGCUGACUACGUGCCAGCAGCCGCGGUAAUACGUAGGGGUGCAAGCGUUAAUCGGAAUUACUGGGCGUAAAGCGUGCGCAGGCGGUUCGGAGCAAAGAUGUGAAAUCCUGUAGAGCCGAAUUUCUUUGUAUCCGGUACUUUUAACUACCGAGCUAGAGUGUGUCAGAGGGAGGUGUGGAAUUCCCGCGUGUAGCAGUGAAAUGCGUAGAUAUGCGGAGAACACCGAUGGCGAAGGCAGCCUCCCGGGGAUAACACUGACGCUCAUGCACGAAAGCGUGGGGAGCAAACAGGAUUAGAUACCCUGGUAGUCCACGCCCUAAACGAUGUCAACUAGCUGUUGGGGCCUUCGGGCCUUGGUAGCGCAGCCAUCAUGAAGUUGACCGCCGGGGAGGCGCAACGCAAGAUUAAACCCCAAAGGAAUUGACGGGGACUCCGCACAAGCGGUAGAUGAUGGAUUAACGAUGCAACGCGAAAAACCUUACCUACCCUUGACAUGUCUGAAUCCCGAAGAGAUUUGGGAGUGCUCUGCAAGAGAACCGGAACACAGGUGCUGCAUGGCUGUCGUCAGUCGAAGUCGUAGAUGGGUUAAGUCCCGCAAUGAGCAACCCUUGUCAGCAGUUGCUACGAAAGGGCACUCUAAUGAGACUGCCGGUGACAAACCGGAGGAAGGUGGGAUGACGGUUGAGUCCUCAUGGCCUCAUAUGUGUAGGGCUUCACACGUCAUACAAUGGUCGGGACAGAGGGUCGCUUAACCCGCGAGGGGGAGCUAAUCCAGAAACCGAUCGUAGUCCGGAUCGCAGUCUGCACCUGACUGCGUGAAGUCGGAAUCGCUAGUAAUCUGUGGAUCAGCAUGUCGCGGUGAAUACGUCUCGGUCUUGCAAGACACCGCCCGUCAUGACCGAUGGAGUGGGUUCUACCAGAAGUAGCACCAACCGCAGGAGGUGAUUACCACGGUAGGAUUCAUGACUGGGGUGAAGUCGUAACAAGGUAA